This 222-nucleotide long non-coding RNA is filed under the name Coffea arabica (coffee). Its description in RNAcentral is "long non-coding RNA (CARA_LNC004396)". Lineage: Eukaryota; Viridiplantae; Streptophyta; Magnoliopsida; Gentianales; Rubiaceae. The record is from RNAcentral.
AUUAUAACCCUAGAAUUUACCUUUGAAAUUAUACUAGUUGGACUUUCUAGGAUGUUUUCUCACAGUUAGAGUUAGGACUCUGUGUAAGAUCCACUUUGUGGUUUUAGCCUUCGCUUUUGUGUGAUGUAGUGGACUGGAAUAUCCCUUUUGAAGAUGUAUAUAUUGUAAAUGGUACUUUUGGAGAUGUAUAAAUGUGAAUAGUAUCUUUUGGUAUCAUGAUUC